CCUGGCGGCCGUAGCGCGGUGGUCCCACCUGACCCCAUGCCGAACUCAGAAGUGAAACGCCGUAGCGCCGAUGGUAGUGUGGGGUCUCCCCAUGC
RNAcentral lists this ribosomal RNA (95 nucleotides) under Escherichia coli. The record is from RNAcentral. Lineage: Bacteria; Pseudomonadati; Pseudomonadota; Gammaproteobacteria; Enterobacterales; Enterobacteriaceae. RNAcentral also lists the same sequence under 7 other names.